Long non-coding RNA from Lontra canadensis (Northern American river otter), 382 nucleotides. RefSeq lists it as uncharacterized. Lineage: Eukaryota; Metazoa; Chordata; Mammalia; Carnivora; Mustelidae. The record is from RefSeq and is a predicted model, not a curated record. The transcript is spliced from 3 exons.
GAUCUUCUCAACGACGAGAGGGAUCCUUCUGUUGAAAGCCCUCUGUGGCUUCUCAGCUCAUCCAGAGAGAGGAUCCACCCCAGGGGCCAAAGAAUUGUCAACGUGCACCGGAUGCCUCCGACUACCAAGCUUUUGGCGAUCCUCUCCAGCAGUGCUUCCUGUUUCCAGUGUUCGGUUGAAGUUUCUCGGCUCUGCGGUGCCAGACGCAGUGGUAUUGUAAGCAAUGCAAUCUGUGCGACAGAGGGGUUCUGAAAGAACCUUGAACUUCUCCCAACACGAAGCACUCAGGUGGUGGCUCCUGAGCUAAUCUCUGUGUGCCAAAGCGGCUGCCCUGGCAAGUCUGAGUCUUCAGCUCUGACAACUCUCACAUGUGGACCCUGCA